This 496-nucleotide ribosomal RNA is filed under the name uncultured bacterium. Its description in RNAcentral is "partial 16S ribosomal RNA". It matches the Rfam family "Bacterial small subunit ribosomal RNA", at positions 28 to 507 of the family's 1533-position model. The record is from RNAcentral.
GAUGAACGCUGGCGGCGUGCCUAAUACAUGCAAGUCGAGCGAACAGACGAGGAGCUUGCUCCUCUGACGUUAGCGGCGGACGGGUGAGUAACACGUGGAUAACCUACCUAUAAGACUGGGAUAACUUCGGGAAACCGGAGCUAAUACCGGAUAAUAUAUUGAACCGCAUGGUUCAAUAGUGAAAGACGGUUUUGCUGUCACUUAUAGAUGGAUCCGCGCCGCAUUAGCUAGUUGGUAAGGUAACGGCUUACCAAGGCGACGAUGCGUAGCCGACCUGAGAGGUGGUUCGGCCACACUGGAACUGAGACACGGUCCAGACCCCUACGGGAGGCAGCAGUGGGGAACUUUCCGCAAUGGGCGAAAGCCUGACGGAGCAACGCGGCGGGAGUGAUGAAGGUCUUCGGUUCGUAAACUCUGUUAUUAGGGAAGAACAAAUGUGUAAGUAACUAUGCACGUCUUGACGGUACCUAAUCAGAAAGCCACGGCUAACUACGUG